RNAcentral lists this long non-coding RNA (212 nucleotides) under Gallus gallus (chicken). The record is from RNAcentral. Lineage: Eukaryota; Metazoa; Chordata; Aves; Galliformes; Phasianidae.
CAUCCCAUUCUAGUGCGUCUUCACUUGGACCAUUUAGAUCCAUCAAACUUGGAUCAAUAAAGUUCAGAGACUCUGGAUCUUUUUCCAGUCUCUUCUGUAGCCUUGUUUGCCACUGGACAGCUUGCAUGACAAUGGCUUCCCACCUCCUCUCAAGGUUUACGAUUAUCAGCUGCAUGGACUGGUGAUCUGCGCUCAGGUUGCAGGUCUCCUGG